This 844-nucleotide ribosomal RNA is filed under the name uncultured bacterium. RNAcentral describes it as "bacterial SSU rRNA". It matches the Rfam family "Bacterial small subunit ribosomal RNA", at positions 8 to 881 of the family's 1533-position model. The record is from RNAcentral.
AGAGUUUGAUCCUGGCUCAGGAUGAACGCUGGCGGCGUGCCUAACACAUGCAAGUCGAGCGAUUCACUUCGGUGAAGAGCGGCGGACGGGUGAGUAACGCGUGGGUAACCUGCCUCAUACACAUGGAUAACAUACCGAAAGGUAUGCUAAUACAAGAUGAUAUAAGAGAUUCGCAUGGAUUUCUUAUCAAAGCUCCGGCGGUAUGAGAUGGACCCGCGUCUGAUUAGCUAGUUGGUAAGGUAACGGCUUACCAAGGCGACGAUCAGUAGCCGACCUGAGAGGGUGAUCGGCCACAUUGGAACUGAGACACGGUCCAAACUCCUACGGGAGGCAGCAGUGGGGAAUAUUGCACAAUGGGCGAAAGCCUGAUGCAGCAACGCCGCGUGAGCGAUGAAGGCCUUCGGGUCGUAAAGCUCUGUCCUCAAGGAAGAUAAUGACGGUACUUGAGGAGGAAGCCCCGGCUAACUACGUGCCAGCAGCCGCGGUAAUACGUAGGGGGCUAGCGUUAUCCGGAUUUACUGGGCGUAAAGGGUGCGUAGGUGGUUUCUUAAGUCAGGAGUGAAAGGCUACGGCUCAACCGUAGUAAGCUCUUGAAACUGGGAAACUUGAGUGCAGGAGAGGAAAGUGGAAUUCCUAGUGUAGCGGUGAAAUGCGUAGAUAUUAGGAGGAACACCAGUAGCGAAGGCGGCUUUCUGGACUGUAACUGACACUGAGGCACGAAAGCGUGGGGAGCAAACAGGAUUAGAUACCCUGGUAGUCCACGCCGUAAACGAUGAGUACUAGGUGUCGGGGGUUACCCCCCUCGGUGCCGCAGCUAACGCAUUAAGUACUCCGCCUGGGGAGU